AAUAAGGGUGUGUUUGGUUCCACGUAAAACUGGAAAAAAAAAUUUCGGUGGAAAAAAGUUUUACGUUGUUUAGUGAUUGAUUUGUAGGAAAUGAAAAAUAGUUUUUCAUAUAAAAAACUAUUUAAUAUAUUUUUUAUUUUAUAUAUAAUAAUAGAUAAUAAUUAAUAUAUUAUAUAUAUUAUUAUUAUUAUAAUUUUUCUAUAUAGAUUAAAUAUAUUUAAAAUACACACUGGCAGAGUGCACGUGCAAUGCAAGUUAUAUAUUUAAAUUUUUUUUUUUAAAUAAUUAAGAUCGGACAUGAUUAAUAUGUAAUAUAUAAUUUUUAAAUAAAUUAUUUGUGAAUAUUUAUAAUUUAAUAAUUUUAUUAUAUUUGAAUAAAAUAGUAAAAAAAUUAUUGUCCAAUUGAUCAUAUAGAUAAAUUAAAUUUUAGAU
Molecule: long non-coding RNA, 432 nt
Filed under: Ananas comosus (pineapple)
Lineage: Eukaryota; Viridiplantae; Streptophyta; Magnoliopsida; Poales; Bromeliaceae
Description: long non-coding RNA (ACOM_LNC007365)
Source: RNAcentral